RNAcentral lists this ribosomal RNA (420 nucleotides) under uncultured bacterium. RNAcentral's name for it is "bacterial SSU rRNA". It matches the Rfam family "Bacterial small subunit ribosomal RNA", at positions 355 to 772 of the family's 1533-position model. The record is from RNAcentral.
UAGGGAAUAUUGGGCAAUGGACGCAAGUCUGACCCAGCCAUGCCGCGUGCAGGAAGACGGCCCUCUGGGUUGUAAACUGCUUUUAUCAGGGAAGAAACCCUUCUACGUGUAGGAGGCUGACGGUACCUGAGGAAUAAGGAUCGGCUAACUCCGUGCCAGCAGCCGCGGUAAUACGGAGGAUCCAAGCGUUGUCCGGAUUUAUUGGGUUUAAAGGGUGCGUAGGCGGACUUAUAAGUCAGAGGUGAAAGCCGGUAGCUUAACUAUCGAAUUGCCUUUGAAACUGUAGGUCUUGAAUUUUGUUGAGGUAGGCGGAAUGUAUCAUGUAGCGGUGAAAUGCAUAGAUAUGAUACAGAACACCGAUUGCGAAGGCAGCUUACUAAGCAAACAUUGACGCUGAGGCACGAAAGCGUGGGGAUCAAA